GGAUGUGAGGGCCACCUGGCUGCAAUAUCUUUCACCCCAUUGGUUUGGCUGAUCUGGCUGGCUAGGCAGGUGUCCCGUUCCUCCCUCACCAUUCCAUGUGCAUUUCCCCCCCAACACCCACAAGCUGAGUCGGAGAGGAUGAUCACCCCCACUGGAGGAAGACUAUUCUUUUGUUAAGGGUGUAUGAGUAGCCACGAUCCCCUGGUAGAAACUCCAAACAAGCUCUCAAAAAAAUAGAACUCUCUUACACUGCUAAUGAGACUAUAAAAUCAUACAAAACGUUUUCUAAAACAAUGUGCUAGUUUCUUAGAAAGCUAAAUAUAU
RNAcentral lists this small nuclear RNA (324 nucleotides) under Carlito syrichta (Philippine tarsier). RNAcentral's name for it is "7SK RNA (ENSTSYG00000021598.2)". It matches the Rfam family "7SK RNA". From Rfam's summary of the family: 7SK was discovered as an abundant small nuclear RNA in the mid-70s but a possible function has only recently been suggested. Two independent studies have found that 7SK RNA binds the CDK9/cyclin T complex (known as elongation factor P-TEFb). The record is from RNAcentral. Lineage: Eukaryota; Metazoa; Chordata; Mammalia; Primates; Tarsiidae.